GAAAUAUAAAUUUAAGCUUCUAACUUAAAACUUAGCAAAUUUGUUAAUAUUUCU
RNAcentral lists this transfer RNA (54 nucleotides) under Cucujoidea sp. 4 KM-2017. RNAcentral describes it as "tRNA-Ser". The record is from RNAcentral. Lineage: Eukaryota; Metazoa; Arthropoda; Insecta; Coleoptera.